CGCAGGCUGGCGGGUGACCCACGACCCGCGCAGAGGUCAUUUUCUUCUGAGAAAGUCACUCUUAAGGAUCGUUCUCUCCCCAACCCCAGCUGGAGCAAGGACAUAAGACUCCUCUUUGAUCACUUCAUGAAGAAAUGUGAAGAUGGCUCCUGGGAAUAUUUGCCAUUUUAUACUUCUAAAUCUUCUCACAAGAGUCAAGACUUGAAAACCAGGUGUCCUGAAAUCGUUUUCUUCUGGGAAAGUCACUCCUAAGGAUUCCCCUCUCCCUAACCCCAGCUGGAGCAAGGACAUGCGACUCCUCUUUGACCAGUUCAUGAAGAAAUGUGAAGAUGACUCCUGGAAACCUUUAUCUUCUUAUGCAGCAAUCACAACUCAAGAUUUCAGAGGCUUUUUUCCUGGUAGGAACAGCUACUCCCACAUAUCAUGACUCCUUAGUACAUUUACUUUCUCAUCACCUAUGAAAUUUCUUUCACCCAGCCCCAGUCUUGCAAUCCCAGGUACAACUUGAGCCUUAUUAUCUGCAGAAUGUGCACAACCUCCAAAUCCACACAUAUAGACAUCCUUUUUUCUGACCACAACCUCUUUCCUUCCAGCUUGCAAGGGCCCCACAGAAAUAAUUCUUGAGACCUUCAGUUCACGGGCUUCUGCAUUCUCAUUGUCCCCUUGGCCCUCUUCUGCCUGAACUCUAGGAAAACUCCAGCCCUGGAUGAAUAUGGCCAUCUGCCAACC
This is a long non-coding RNA of Talpa occidentalis (Iberian mole), 729 nucleotides long. RefSeq lists it as uncharacterized. The transcript has 3 exons. The record is from RefSeq and is a predicted model, not a curated record. Lineage: Eukaryota; Metazoa; Chordata; Mammalia; Eulipotyphla; Talpidae.